Molecule: ribosomal RNA, 780 nt
Filed under: uncultured Bacillota bacterium
Lineage: Bacteria; Bacillati; Bacillota
Description: bacterial SSU rRNA
Rfam family: Bacterial small subunit ribosomal RNA
Source: RNAcentral
GGUGUAAAGGGAGCGCAGGCGGAAGCGCAAGUUGGAUGUGAAACCCAUGGGCUCAACCCAUGGCCUGCAUCCAAAACUGUGUUUCUUGAGUAGUGCAGAGGUAGGCGGAAUUCCCGGUGUAGCGGUGGAAUGCGUAGAUAUCGGGAGGAACACCAGUGGCGAAGGCGGCCUACUGGGCACCAACUGACGCUGAGGCUCGAAAGCAUGGGUAGCAAACAGGAUUAGAUACCCUGGUAGUCCAUGCCGUAAACGAUGAUUACUAGGUGUUGGAGGAUUGACCCCUUCAGUGCCGCAGUUAACACAAUAAGUAAUCCACCUGGGGAGUACGACCGCAAGGUUGAAACUCGAAGGAAUUGACGGGGGCCCGCACAAGCAGUGGAGUAUGUGGUUUAAUUCGACGCAACGCGAAGAACCUUACCAGGUCUUGACAUCCCAGUGACCGCUCUAGAGAUAGAGUUUUUCUUCGGAACACUGGUGACAGGUGGUGCAUGGUUGUCGUCAGCUCGUGUCGUGAGAUGUUGGGUUAAGUCCCGCAACGAGCGCAACCCUUAUUGUUAGUUGCCAUCAUUCAGUUGGGCACUCUAGCGAGACUGCCGGUAAUAAANCCGGAGGAAGNGUGGGGAUGACGUCAAAUCAUCAUGCCCCUUAUGACCUGGGCUACACACGUGCUACAAUGGUUGGUACAACGAGUCGCAAGUCGGUGACGGCAAGCAAAUCUCUUAAAGCCAAUCUCAGUUCGGAUUGUAGGCUGCAACUCGCCUACAUGAAGUCGGAAUCGCU